Molecule: non-coding RNA, 71 nt
Organism: Mesocricetus auratus (golden hamster)
Lineage: Eukaryota; Metazoa; Chordata; Mammalia; Rodentia; Cricetidae
Source: Rfam
GAGAGUAUAGCUCAGUGGUAGAGCCUAUGCUUAGUAUGCAUAGGACCUAGGUUCAAUCCCAGGUACUACCA